Molecule: signal recognition particle RNA, 308 nt
Filed under: Candidatus Thalassarchaeaceae archaeon
Lineage: Archaea; Methanobacteriati; Thermoplasmatota; Candidatus Poseidoniia; Candidatus Poseidoniales; Candidatus Thalassarchaeaceae
Description: signal recognition particle sRNA
Rfam family: Archaeal signal recognition particle RNA
Source: RNAcentral
UGUUGGGCUAGGAGGGGGGUUGGCGUCCCCUGUAUCGCAAAUCGCAACAUGGCGGUCCGAACGCCCGGGGGCGGCAAAACCGAGCAUCGUAGGACGCAUCUGUGGACGUUGAUGCCUCGCCUUCAUGAGAUCGUGGUUUUGGAGAACUGUAUUCGGAAGAAAAUAGAAAUUCAAUUAUCGGGGGAUCAGGUCAGGCCAGGAAUGGAGCAGCCCUACCCGAAGCCAAUGAUGCCGUGGAGAAUCGGGGUGGAGAAUACGGGUGCACUCUCUUGCGGUGAAACGGAUGUCCACCCCGGGAAUGCCCACCU